This is a non-coding RNA of Arabidopsis thaliana (thale cress), 68 nucleotides long. The record is from RefSeq. Lineage: Eukaryota; Viridiplantae; Streptophyta; Magnoliopsida; Brassicales; Brassicaceae.
UUUGACAGAAGAGAGAGAGCACAGUUUGAGUCGCCAAUUCCCUUGUAGCUCUCUAGUUUAGUGUCCAU